CAGUCGCCACGGGAAAACCAGCACCUCGAGUGGUCAGGAGGUUUAUUGGGCCUAAAGCAUCCGUAGCCAGUUGCAUAAGUUUUCGGUUAAAUCUAUGCGCUUAACGUAUAGGCCGCCGAAAAUACUGUGCAGCUAGGGAGUGGGAGAGGUACACGGUACUCGAUAGGAAGGGGUAAAAUCCUUUGAUCUAUUGAUGACCACCUGUGGCGAAGGCGGUGUACCAGAACACGUUCGACGGUGAGGGAUGAAAGCUGGGGGAGCAAACCGGAUUAGAUACCCCUGUAGUCCCUGUCUCUUAUAC
This 301-nucleotide ribosomal RNA is filed under the name uncultured bacterium. RNAcentral's name for it is "partial 16S ribosomal RNA". It matches the Rfam family "Archaeal small subunit ribosomal RNA", at positions 459 to 760 of the family's 1478-position model. The record is from RNAcentral.